This 369-nucleotide ribosomal RNA is filed under the name Triticum aestivum (bread wheat). RNAcentral's name for it is "partial small subunit ribosomal RNA". Lineage: Eukaryota; Viridiplantae; Streptophyta; Magnoliopsida; Poales; Poaceae. The record is from RNAcentral.
AUGCAAUCAUCCCAUACACACACAUCACAUGCAUACGGUCCACGGGUGGUCGCCUCGGCGUUAUACCUUUGCAGCGUGCAUUUUCGUGGCGGUUCGAGUCGGUGCGAAGUAGAGGAAGUAGACGUUCUCGGAACGGUCGUAGGGGAAGUAGUGGUACUAUUGGUCCUCAGUGACGGUAGUGGAAGUAGUGGUCCACGAGUCGAAGAGGAAGUAGUCGUUCAUGUUCGGGAAGCGGUAGAGGUACGGGUCUUCGACAACGGUCGUCGUACACGCUCCAAUGUCGUCGGUAGAGGUUCUCGCGACCUUGGCGACGGUAGUGGUACAUGUUUUUUCGUGGAUGUUCGAGUCAUCGGUAGCGGUACUUGGUGA